UACAGGCUUAACACAUGCAAGUCGAGGGGCAGCAUGAACUUAGCUUGCUAAGGCCGAUGGCGACCGGCGCACGGGUGAGUAACACGUAUCCAACCUGCCGAUAACUCCGGAAUAGCCUUUCGAAAGAAAGAUUAAUACCGGAUGGCAUACGAAUAUCGGUCAUCGAUGGGGAUGCGUUCCAUUAGGUUGUUGGCGGGGUAACGGCCCACCAAGCCUUCGAUGGAUAGGGGUUCUGAGAGGAAGGUCCCCACAUUGGAACUGAGACACGGUCCAAACUCC
This 279-nucleotide ribosomal RNA is filed under the name uncultured Bacteroides sp. RNAcentral's name for it is "partial 16S ribosomal RNA". It matches the Rfam family "Bacterial small subunit ribosomal RNA", at positions 43 to 339 of the family's 1533-position model. Lineage: Bacteria; Pseudomonadati; Bacteroidota; Bacteroidia; Bacteroidales; Bacteroidaceae. The record is from RNAcentral.